GCAAAAGGAACGUGAAAAGAAUUAUCGGAGGAACAGAGACGCUGCCCUACGAGUAUCCCUGGCAAGUGGGACUUCUUUUCAGUAAAGAGUAUCCUGAUCUAAUGUGUGGAGGAUCAAUCAUUGGCCCUUAUCACAUCCUUACAGCUGCACAUUGCAUCUACGGACCAAAAUUCAGACACGGGCAAAGAUUUCGCCCACUGGUGGCUAUCGGGUUGCAUGACUCCAGGAAACCAUCAGCUGCAACUAAGUACCUCAACAUCGCUAAGAUAACACUCCUCCGGGGAUAUGACAAUAAGACCAUUGCAAAUGACAUUGCAAUUCUCAAAACAGAACAGCAAAUUCCAUUCGACAUCAAGAACACUAUUUCGCCAAUCUGCCUUCCCGAAGACCCAAACAAUAAG
Molecule: long non-coding RNA, 401 nt
Organism: Macrobrachium nipponense
Lineage: Eukaryota; Metazoa; Arthropoda; Malacostraca; Decapoda; Palaemonidae
Exons: 3
Source: RefSeq, a predicted model, not a curated record